CCUACGGGCGGCAGCAGUGAGGAAUAUUGGUCAAUGGACGAGAGUCUGAACCAGCCAAGUAGCGUGAAGGAUGACUGCCCUAUGGGUUGUAAACUUCUUUUAUAUGGGAAUAAACUGUUCCACGUGUGGGAUUUUGUAUGUACCAUAUGAAUAAGGAUCGGCUAACUCCGUGCCAGCAGCCGCGGUAAUACGGAGGGUCCGAGCGUUAUCCGGAUUUAUUGGGUUUAAAGGGAGCGUAGGUGGAUUGUUAAGUGAGUUGUGAAAGUUUGCGGCUCAACCGUGAAAGUGCGGUUGAAACUGGAAGUCUUGAGUGCACUAGAGGUGGGCGGAAUUCGUGGUGUAGCGGUGAAAUGCUUAGAUAUCACGAAGAACUCCGAUUGCGAAGGCAGCUUACUGGACUGCAACUGACACUGAGGCUCGAAAGUGUGGGUAUCAAACAGGAUUAGAUACCCGGGUAGUC
This 460-nucleotide ribosomal RNA is filed under the name uncultured bacterium. Its description in RNAcentral is "partial 16S ribosomal RNA". It matches the Rfam family "Bacterial small subunit ribosomal RNA", at positions 338 to 795 of the family's 1533-position model. The record is from RNAcentral.